This 433-nucleotide ribosomal RNA is filed under the name uncultured bacterium. RNAcentral's name for it is "partial 16S ribosomal RNA". It matches the Rfam family "Bacterial small subunit ribosomal RNA", at positions 29 to 507 of the family's 1533-position model. The record is from RNAcentral.
AACGAACGCUGGCGGCAUGCCUAACACAUGCAAGUCGAACGAUACCUGCGGGUCUUGUUGCGCACGGUUACUUACCGCGUGGGAAGUUGCGCUUAGGUUCCCUAUAACUUCCCGGAAGGGGUGCUAAUACCACAUAAUGUCUUCCGACCAAAGAUUUAUCGCCUUUGGAUGGGCCCGCGUUGGAUUAGCUAGUUGGACUGGUAAAAGGCUACCAAGGCUAUGAUCCAGUGCUGGUCUGAGCGGAUGACCAGCCAGACUGGGACUGGGACACGUCCCAGACUCCUACGGAAGGCAGCAGUUGUGACUAUUGGACACUGGGCGAAAGCAUGAUCCAGCAGUGUCGCGUGAGUGAUGAAGGCGUGAGGAUCGUAAAGCACUGUUAACAGGGAUGAUAAUGACAGUACCGGGACAAUAAGCGCCGGCUAACUACGUG